CAUUAGAUAACUUAAAGCAAGUAAUGGUCUCUUAAACCACCUAAUAGUAAAGUAGCGUCUACUUCUAAUGA
This 71-nucleotide transfer RNA is filed under the name Nitidulidae sp. BMNH 1274727. Its description in RNAcentral is "tRNA-Lys". The record is from RNAcentral. Lineage: Eukaryota; Metazoa; Arthropoda; Insecta; Coleoptera; Nitidulidae.